This 605-nucleotide ribosomal RNA is filed under the name Pasteurella multocida. RNAcentral describes it as "bacterial SSU rRNA". It matches the Rfam family "Bacterial small subunit ribosomal RNA", at positions 61 to 653 of the family's 1533-position model. The record is from RNAcentral. Lineage: Bacteria; Pseudomonadati; Pseudomonadota; Gammaproteobacteria; Pasteurellales; Pasteurellaceae.
GUCGAACGGUAGCAGGAAGAAAGCUUGCUUUCUUUGCUGACGAGUGGCGGACGGGUGAGUAAUGCUUGGGAAUCUGGCUUAUGGAGGGGGAUAACUGUGGGAAACUGCAGCUAAUACCGCGUAAUCUCUGAGGAGUAAAGGGUGGGACCUCUUGGCCACCUGCCAUAAGAUGAGCCCAAGUGGGAUUAGGUAGUUGGUGGGGUAAAGGCCUACCAAGCCUGCGAUCUCUAGCUGGUCUGAGAGGAUGACCAGCCACACUGGAACUGAGACACGGUCCAGACUCCUACGGGAGGCAGCAGUGGGGAAUAUUGCGCAAUGGGGGGAACCCUGACGCAGCCAUGCCGCGUGAAUGAAGAAGGCCUUCGGGUUGUAAAGUUCUUUCGGUAAUGAGGAAGGGAUGUUGUUAAAUAGAUGGCAUCAUUGACGUUAAUUACAGAAGAAGCACCGGCUAACUCCGUGCCAGCAGCCGCGGUAAUACGGAGGGUGCGAGCGUUAAUCGGAAUAACUGGGCGUAAAGGGCACGCAGGCGGACUUUUAAGUGAGAUGUGAAAUCCCCGAGCUUAACUUGGGAAUUGCAUUUCAGACUGGGAGUCUAGAGUACUUUU